RNAcentral lists this ribosomal RNA (253 nucleotides) under uncultured bacterium. RNAcentral's name for it is "partial 16S ribosomal RNA". It matches the Rfam family "Bacterial small subunit ribosomal RNA", at positions 524 to 776 of the family's 1533-position model. The record is from RNAcentral.
AACGUAGGAGGCGAGCGUUAUCCGGAGUUACUGGGCGUAAAGCGCGUGUAGGUGGCUUGUUACGUCUGCUGUGAAAGCGCCCGGCUUAACCGGGACGAUGCGGUAGAUACGGGCAAGCUUGAGGGUGACAGAGGAGCGUAGAAUUCCGGGUGUAGUGGUGAAAUGCGCAGAUAUCAGGAAGAACACCUAUGGCGAAAGCAGCUCUCUGGGACGGUACUGACGCUGAGACGCGAAAGCGUGGGGAGCGAACAGG